RNAcentral lists this ribosomal RNA (1411 nucleotides) under Staphylococcus haemolyticus. Its description in RNAcentral is "bacterial SSU rRNA". It matches the Rfam family "Bacterial small subunit ribosomal RNA". Lineage: Bacteria; Bacillati; Bacillota; Bacilli; Caryophanales; Staphylococcaceae. The record is from RNAcentral.
AGUCGAGCGAACAGACGAGGAGCUUGCUCCUUUGACGUUAGCGGCGGACGGGUGAGUAACACGUGGGUAACCUACCUAUAAGACUGGGAUAACUUCGGGAAACCGGAGCUAAUACCGGAUAAUAUUUCGAACCGCAUGGUUCGAUAGUGAAAGAUGGUUUUGCUAUCACUUAUAGAUGGACCCGCGCCGUAUUAGCUAGUUGGUAAGGUAACGGCUUACCAAGGCGACGAUACGUAGCCGACCUGAGAGGGUGAUCGGCCACACUGGAACUGAGACACGGUCCAGACUCCUACGGGAGGCAGCAGUAGGGAAUCUUCCGCAAUGGGCGAAAGCCUGACGGAGCAACGCCGCGUGAGUGAUGAAGGUCUUCGGAUCGUAAAACUCUGUUAUUAGGGAAGAACAUACGUGUAAGUAACUGUGCACGUCUUGACGGUACCUAAUCAGAAAGCCACGGCUAACUACGUGCCAGCAGCCGCGGUAAUACGUAGGUGGCAAGCGUUAUCCGGAAUUAUUGGGCGUAAAGCGCGCGUAGGCGGUUUUUUAAGUCUGAUGUGAAAGCCCACGGCUCAACCGUGGAGGGUCAUUGGAAACUGGAAAACUUGAGUGCAGAAGAGGAAAGUGGAAUUCCAUGUGUAGCGGUGAAAUGCGCAGAGAUAUGGAGGAACACCAGUGGCGAAGGCGACUUUCUGGUCUGUAACUGACGCUGAUGUGCGAAAGCGUGGGGAUCAAACAGGAUUAGAUACCCUGGUAGUCCACGCCGUAAACGAUGAGUGCUAAGUGUUAGGGGGUUUCCGCCCCUUAGUGCUGCAGCUAACGCAUUAAGCACUCCGCCUGGGGAGUACGACCGCAAGGUUGAAACUCAAAGGAAUUGACGGGGACCCGCACAAGCGGUGGAGCAUGUGGUUUAAUUCGAAGCAACGCGAAGAACCUUACCAAAUCUUGACAUCCUUUGACAACUCUAGAGAUAGAGCCUUCCCCUUCGGGGGACAAAGUGACAGGUGGUGCAUGGUUGUCGUCAGCUCGUGUCGUGAGAUGUUGGGUUAAGUCCCGCAACGAGCGCAACCCUUAAGCUUAGUUGCCAUCAUUAAGUUGGGCACUCUAAGUUGACUGCCGGUGACAAACCGGAGGAAGGUGGGGAUGACGUCAAAUCAUCAUGCCCCUUAUGAUUUGGGCUACACACGUGCUACAAUGGACAAUACAAAGGGCAGCGAAACCGCGAGGUCAAGCAAAUCCCAUAAAGUUGUUCUCAGUUCGGAUUGUAGUCUGCAACUCGACUACAUGAAGCUGGAAUCGCUAGUAAUCGUAGAUCAGCAUGCUACGGUGAAUACGUUCCCGGGUCUUGUACACACCGCCCGUCACACCACGAGAGUUUGUAACACCCGAAGCCGGUGGAGUAACCAUUGGAGCUAGC